UAUUUUUGUGCACUUACUGUCUGCUCCACCAAGUUGAUUAACGGCUUCUAUAAACCUCUCAUGGAGGUCUGGUGUCCAUUUCAAUCUUGGCUUGGCAUCUGUUGACAGGACAAGCCCUGAGUCCCCGUUGCCAUUUCCACCUUGCAGGAACAGAUGUCUUUCAGAGAUAGACAUUCUUGUUGAAGGGUGCAUGCUCUUAUCCUGGCGGUGAUGAUGGUACAUCUUCUGGCCUUCUGUAUGAUUAUUAGCAAUUAAGUUUUGUGGUGCGAGUUAAUAGGCACGAUAUAAGUAAUUUAACUAAUUAUAAUGUACCUGAAAGUGAUCUGCUGUACUUGGUUUCAGUCUAGUCUUACCCUUUAGAUGCAAAUCAUGAUUCUUCUGUAUUAUUCUUCAGAGAACAAUUCUGCUUCUGAUACUCAGUUCAAGAAAACUGUACUACUGCUCUUAUCUAUCUCCUUAGUUGUACAACUUCACAGACCAAAGAUGUUUCCAAAGAGCUCUUAUAAGAGAAUGGGGUGAGAAAGAGAGAGGGAGUCUAGGUGAAGUAUAGAAUCUUGGACAGGGCCAGUUGAACGCUAGAACCAAUCGAAUCUUCACAGCCGGCUCAAAAAGAGAUCUCAUCCUUCCAGUUUUACAUAUUUGUGGGCCCUAGCAUGUUAUUCCUCUGCACUAUAACUUGCUUGAAACACUUCACACCUUACAAUGGGUACAAGAAUUUAUCCGCCAGAGACUUUUAUGUUCUCAUAUUCUUUAUCUGGCAAAGUUUGGGAACCAUAUUCCCAGAAUUAAAUUUGGAAUUUUUUUUCUGAUAUUGACUGAAAGUAUCCACUAUCUAAUGAUGUAUGAUCUCUUGAAAACUUCAAAACCGUUUCCCUUUCAAAGGGAAGAUUCUGUUGACCAGAGCUUCAAGUACUUUGUAUUGGAUAAAAAAACAAAGCAAAGAGAUAGGGAAAUGGUUGAGAGAUGCUUCUAUUAUUUCAUGUCAAAAUAAAAAGACUAAUACAUUUCUCUCUAUAAACCUCUGUUAGUUUACUAUGGCCAUGUAAAGAAUUAGUUGAGGCAGCAUUUCCUAUAUGCAUUUUUAUUCUAUUACAUCGACUAUACUCUGCCUUGGGUAAAAAGAAGUUAAUGAUUUUAGAUGAGACUUUCAUGCAAUAUCUUGCUCCUUUGUUUAGUGAUAUGAACUUUUGGAAUAUCUUGAGCAUUAUUUUCAGUCUAUGCUAUUUUAACAUAUCAUGUUUGAGUAACUAAAAAGGAAUACGAUAAAAAGGUAAAAGGAAAUUGUGGAGAGAUGCUUCUCCUUGGCUUUGUUUGAAGGCCAGGAAUAUUGGAAUAAGGAUCAAAUACCUUUUUGUCUCCUUCAGUAAGUUUGGUACUUAUUCGGCCUGCAUAUAUAGAACUAAAAUAGAGGGAGACCUCCAGUACGUUAGAUAUUUCCUAUUCUUUAAUUGGUGUAAGACAGCCAUCUCCAAGGCAUUGGGACCCCUUUGAAAGGAGAAAUAAAGUGAUAUUACUUGCUUCCGUAGUCGCUUGAUGGAAAACAUGUCAACUCAUUUGCUCGAAGAUGACUACUUGUCUUUCCCUUGACUUGAGCCUUAAUUUGCUCUAGAGAAUAUAAUAGUUACUUUACAUUCUUUUGUGCCCGUUUAAUUUUUAAUAAACAUGUAUAGAUACCUGUCAGUUUUCCUGUCAUAGUUUAUUGUCAGACACAAACUUGAGAUCUCAAUUUUUCGCCUUGCUAAUUCAAUUUCUAGUUCACUUCUAAAAACUAAUAACACCAUAGAUUUCCCUUUUUUUUUUGUUGUUGUUGUUUCAUAGAUUUGUGCUCAUUUGUUUCUUCCUUUUUUUUUUUUUUUUGUGGAGGGAAAACUAGGGAAUUUAAACUUAGUUGUUUAUGAAGGGCUUCGUCUCUUUUGCACCUUUUCCUUGUUAACAUUGCAAUGAUACAUCUAAUCUGCUGUAUUUUUGUAUUGGUCAGCAAGUUGAACAAAUCACGAUUGCAUAGUUAGGAAAUGACUCUUGGGGUCAAAAAGAUAUCUUUUGGAUAAAUCUCAGGGGUUUGCAGGACUGUUUGUUAUCUAAGGUUAAUUAUUUUCUAUCUUGAUAUCAAAUAAGUGAAAAUUCCUCAUCUCUGAACAAGGUAUACACAUCAGUUGUCAGUUGAACUUUCAAGAAAAAGAUCAACUGAUUCUGAUAUCUUAGGGUAUUUUAUGCGCUUUGGAGGAAUAUAUUACAACCUUUAGGUAAAGUGGUAUAGGUAUAAAGCAGAGUUCCCUUAUACUGUUUUGCUGGCAUGUGGAUAGGAAUGAAAUGAGGAUGUGCAUUGUUAGCUGUAUGAGUUGCAUUGGACUAUUAUAUUGUACUAAAAUCAAUAAAUUUAUGGAGUUAAUUUUUUUUGGUUAGGUUCAACCAUAUGAUAUCCGGAACCCAUUAGCUCAUCUAAUCCAAAUGUGCGUAGCAGAGACCCAUUUAAGGGAGAAGCGUUCCCUACCGGAAAUUUCUUCAAUCCCAGGUUUGAACUCGAGACCUCUUGUUAGUAUUUAUCUGACCUAACUGUCUUGUUAUAGUGUUGUUCAUCUCACCAUACUGUCUUUAACAAUUCUUUGUCUUUUUAUUUUUUAUUUUUUUUGUCAUUCUCAGUUUCCCUUCUGUUAUGGUAAAGUAGAUUUUCUAAUUGAUGAUGUGCAAGAUCUAAUAGUUGCUUUACGUUGCUAUACCAAACUGAAUAAUAUUUCAUCGUUUUAUUUUACAGAAAGGUAUUUGGCUGAGCACGAAACUUAAGAUAUUAGUUUAACUUAUAUGUAUGAUGUUAGUGAUGAUGGAAGCAAUACUAAAAGAUAUAAGUUGAUAAGCUAGUUUUUUAUUUUUUUUAAAUGCAAAAAAAGAAGAGAACAUUAAAAUGGAGUAACUUAAUUUAUUUGAAUUUUUGAAAGCUGUGAAUUUUAUAGAAAUGGAAGGAUAACAAACAUUUCAAAACAUUUUAAAUUUCUUUUUUUUUUAAAUAAAAAAGUAUAAAAGUGAAACAGAAGAAGUAUAAACAUGCAAUAGCAAUCGUUUUAUGUCUCUCUGAAUAACCCAAAUACUCUUUUCUAUUAAUGGUACACUAAAAGUACUUAAUUUGCUUUUCCUUGAUGUUGCCAAAAAGCAAUGACUGCUGUUCCUCUGUUUUGUAAGACAUGCAGAAGAACCCUUUGCCUUUGCUAUUCCAAUCUAUCUUCUUCUUCCUCGUCUCUUUUGUUGCUUUCUUUAUUCUAUUUUCAUGAUAUAUAUUCUCCACUUUAAUGAAGAGAACAUGUGCUGUUGUUCUUUCUUGUACUUGCAUUUCCUUUUUAAAGCUCUUAGAUUGAGUUAAUUUUACUUUGAAGUACAAGAUGAAUCUCACAUUUAAAAAAAAAAAUUAAAGAAAAAGAAAGAGCAUUUCGAAUCAACUUAGGGGCUAUGGUGGAAGAGUUAGUCAAUGCCUGAUCUGUAACGUACGCAGAAUUUUGUGUGAGCAAUGCCGACUUAUUAUCAUCUCAACUUAUAUUUGAGUCAGGAUUUGGAGUUGUAGUUGUUUUAAGAAUUUACUCAUUGUCCCAAAUUAAUGUUUGAUCUAUAAUAUAUACACAUAAUUUUCAAUAUUUAUGUGUUUGAAUUUUUUCGACGAAGCGGUGUCAGAUAACACUCUCGUACAAGGGUAUCUCUGCCACUGUGCAUUAUUAAUAAAGACACGCACAUUUCUAAUUGGUGCCUGCUUGUUGACCCCAGGGUGAAGACACUGGCUCAAAAUAAAAGGAAAUCAAUGACCACGGAAUGAUAUUCCUUAUGGGGAAAAGGACUUGGGGUUUAAGAUAAAAGUCAGAUUCUGAGGAAUGGAAUUUCAGAAUCUUAACUCAAAACCAAAGCAAUGGACGUAUUCUCAAGUCAAGAAUUUCUUCGUUAUUCUUUUCCUUUUCUAGGCCACGGAAAAUGGAUUCCGAA
RNAcentral lists this long non-coding RNA (3960 nucleotides) under Nicotiana tabacum (common tobacco). RNAcentral describes it as "long non-coding RNA (NTAB_LNC011133)". The record is from RNAcentral. Lineage: Eukaryota; Viridiplantae; Streptophyta; Magnoliopsida; Solanales; Solanaceae.